RNAcentral lists this long non-coding RNA (471 nucleotides) under Capsicum annuum. Its description in RNAcentral is "long non-coding RNA (CANN_LNC002744)". Lineage: Eukaryota; Viridiplantae; Streptophyta; Magnoliopsida; Solanales; Solanaceae. The record is from RNAcentral.
UAAGAGCUGAAUUGAGCUAAGAUUAAUACGGGGUAUUACAAUAUCUCCCCCUUGGGAAUAUUUGUCCUCAUAUUAGAAUAGUUAUAUUAGGUCUACUGAGGAAACUAAGGUCAAAUACUGAGUGUGCAUGACAAGAAACAUGCUUACAUAACUGAGUCUAAAACAUGAUACAUGAACUGAAAUGGUUUCAUGAGUGCAUUAAAUUACAUGACGAUUGAUACAUAGAUGAAAUAGGGAACUAAAAAAAGUUAAUCUAUGGAAAAUCUUUACCUAAUGUUGGAUUUGGGUUUGCGGAGAAAAGAUUAGGGUACUUGGUUUGCAUAUCUGCUUUUGCUUCCCAUAUGGACCCCUCAACAGACUGAUUCCGCCCCGAAACUUUAACCAAGGGAACUUCUUUGUUCCUUAGCCUAUGGAUCUAACGAUCAAGGAUAUCAACUGGAACGUCUUCAUAAUAAAGACUAUCCUUGACAU